GGGUGAGUAAUAUAUUGAAAUAUACCUAUUAAAUUAGAAUAAAGAAAUGAAAAUUUCCUUAAAUCUUAAUAAAGUUAUUUAAUAAUAAAUAAUAAAAAAAACAAAUUGUUAAUAGAUUAGUCGAUAUCAGAUUAGUUAGUUGGUCGUGUAAAAGACAACCAAGACUAUUAUCUGUAGUUGUUCUGUGAGGAAGCACAGCCACAUUGGGACUGAGACAAGGCCCAAACCCCUACGGGGGGCAGCAGUGAGGAAUAUUGGACAAUGAGCUAAAGCUUGAUCCAGCAAUACCGCGUGUGUGAAGAAGGUAUUUUUACUGUAAAGCACUUUUUUUUAGGAAUAACACCCCUGAAUGUACUAGAAGAAUAAGCACCGGCUAAUUACGUGCCAGCAGCCGCGGUAAUACGUAAGGUGCGAGCGUUAAUCGGAAUUAUUGGGCGUAAAGCGUGUGUAGGCUGUUUUUUAUGAAAAAAAUUAAAAAUUGAAUCUCAACUUCAUUAUGUUUUUUUUACUAAUUUACUUGAGUAUAAAAGAGGAGAGUAGAAUUCUAUGUGUAGCGGUGAAAUGCGUAAAUAUAUAGAGGAAUACCAAUAGCGAAGGCAACUCUCUGGGUUAAUACUGACGCUGAGACACUAAAGCGUGGGUAGCGAACAGGAUUAGAUACCCUGGUAGUCCACGCCCUAAACGAUGUCAACUAAUUAUCAGUUUUGGUAGUGAAGCUAACGCGUUAAGUUGACCGCCUGGGGACUACGAUCGCAAGAUUAAAACUCAAAGGAAUUGACGGGGACCCGCACAAGCGGUGGAUGAUGUGGAUUAAUUCGAUGCAACACGAAGAACCUUACCUACUCUUGACAUGUAUAGAAUUUUUUCGAAAGAAUAAAGUGCCUAUAACACAGGUGCUGCAUGGCUGUCGUCAGCUCGUGUCGUGAGAUGUUUGGUUAAGUCCUAUAACGAGCGUAACCCUUUUUUUUUGUUGCUACGGCACUCAAAAAAUACUGCUAAUGAAAAGUUAGAGGAAGGAGAGGAUGACGUCAAGUCCUCAUGGCCCUUAUGAGUAGGGCUUCACACGUCAUACAAUGGUUAAUACAAUUAGAUGCAAACUCGUGAGAGUUAGCAAAUCUUUAAAAUUAAUCUCAGUCCGAAUUGCACUCUGCAACUCGAGUGCAUGAAGUUGGAAUCGCUAGUAAUCGCAGAUCAGAAUGCUGCGGUGAAUACGUUCUCGGGUCUUGUACACACCGCCCGUCACACCAUGGAAGUAAGUUUUGUUGGAAAUAAUUUUU
This 1277-nucleotide ribosomal RNA is filed under the name Candidatus Vidania fulgoroideorum. Its description in RNAcentral is "Candidatus Vidania fulgoroideae partial 16S ribosomal RNA". It matches the Rfam family "Bacterial small subunit ribosomal RNA", at positions 104 to 1434 of the family's 1533-position model. Lineage: Bacteria; Pseudomonadati; Pseudomonadota; Betaproteobacteria. The record is from RNAcentral.